GAAAGGGUGGUUGACAGGACAGGAGGAUUCUGUGAUACGUGGAACCGAAAACGUGCUUAUCCACGUGGAUAAAAGCGAAACUGGAUUCCUGCCUCAUGCCGUACUCCAAAACAACUCCGGAUGAAUUUAAAUCUUUAAUUGUGAAUGCAAAACUUUAGAUUAAUAUUUUUCUGACCUUGAGAGAAGAAAGGGAUUUCUUAAAGUACAGCUCCAAGAAAAUUUCAGCCAGGUCCAUGUGGAACUCCAGAACAGAAAUGUGGUAGUUCUCAGACUUCCACCUCACACAGUCACUGUGGGGGGCAGCCUGAGACCCUGGCGUCAGGGAGAAUAUUAAUCAGAUGCAGGCAAGGGGCAGGUGGAGGCGAUUAGCUAACUGCCUGCACCCCAUGGAUUCCCUCUUAUGGGAAAUCUGAGUGGUAUGUUCCCAUGGCUGCCACAUGCCAGGAUGGAAAUAACUAUUCUCUUCUGCAGCUGGGCUAGAAAAUCUCUAAAGCCCUUCCAAGCACACAAAUUCAAGGACUCUGUUGUGAUUUGAGGUCAACCCCAAGGAUGCCUAGGAAUAAAUAGAAGAAGCACAGCCUGCUCUCAGAGGUAUGGGGUGGGUGGAGAGGCACUCAUCUUUUGUCUUGCAAAU
RNAcentral lists this long non-coding RNA (634 nucleotides) under Fukomys damarensis (Damara mole-rat). RNAcentral describes it as "lncRNA (ENSFDAG00000031976.1)". The record is from RNAcentral. Lineage: Eukaryota; Metazoa; Chordata; Mammalia; Rodentia; Bathyergidae.